GACCUGAUAGUCUAGUGGUUAGACUGCCUCGACAAAUUGCCUUAUCAGAUGGUCGCAAGAGGUGCUCAGGUUCGACUCCUGGUCGGGUCA
Molecule: non-coding RNA, 90 nt
Organism: Marasmius sp. AFHP31
Lineage: Eukaryota; Fungi; Basidiomycota; Agaricomycetes; Agaricales; Marasmiaceae
Source: the annotation of a GenBank genome assembly